GACGAACGCUGGCGGCGUGCUUAACACAUGCAAGUCGAACGGAAAGGCCCUGCUUUUGUGGGGUGCUCGAGUGGCGAACGGGUGAGUAACACGUGAGUAACCUGCCCUUGUCUUUGGGAUAACUUCAGGAAACUGGGGCUAUUACCGGAUAGGAUCUCCUGCUGCAUGGUGGGGGUUGGAAAGUUUCGGCGGUGGGGGAUGGACUCGCGGCUUAUCAGCUUGUUGGUGGGGUAGUGGCUUACCAAGGCUUUGACGGGUAGCCGGCCUGGGAGGGUGACCGGCCACCUUGGGACUGAGAGACGGCCCAGACGCCUACGGGAGGCAGUAGUGGGGAGUAUGGCACAAUGGGCGGGCGCCUGAUGCGGCAGCGCCGCGUGCGGGAUGACGGCCUUCGGGUUGUAAACCGCUUUCGCCUGUGACGAAGCGUGCGUGACGGUAAUGGGUAAAGAAGCACCGGCUAACUACGUG
Molecule: ribosomal RNA, 468 nt
Filed under: uncultured bacterium
Lineage: Bacteria
Description: partial 16S ribosomal RNA
Rfam family: Bacterial small subunit ribosomal RNA
Source: RNAcentral